RNAcentral lists this transfer RNA (62 nucleotides) under Prosopocoilus confucius. RNAcentral's name for it is "tRNA-Gly". Lineage: Eukaryota; Metazoa; Arthropoda; Insecta; Coleoptera; Lucanidae. The record is from RNAcentral.
AUUUGUGUAAUAUAAAAAUUAUAUUUGACUUCCAAUCAAAAAAUCUAGCAAUAGCAUAAAUA